Molecule: ribosomal RNA, 497 nt
Filed under: uncultured bacterium
Lineage: Bacteria
Description: partial 16S ribosomal RNA
Rfam family: Bacterial small subunit ribosomal RNA
Source: RNAcentral
GAUGAACGCUGGCGGCGUGCCUAAUACAUGCAAGUCGAGCGGACGGACGAGAAGCUUGCUCCUCUGAUGUUAGCGGCGGACGGGUGAGUAACACGUGGAUAACCUACCUAUAAUACUGGGAUAACUUCGGGAAACCGGAGCUAAUACCGGAUGAUAUUUUGAACCGCAUGGUUCAAAAGUGAAAGACGGUUUUGCUGUCACUUAUAGAUGGUGCCGCGCUGGAUUAGCUAGUUGGUAAGGUAACGGCCUACCAAGGCAACGAUGCGUAGCCGACCUGAGAGGGUGAUCGGCCACACUGGAACUGAGACACGGUCCAGACUCCUACGGGAGGCAGCAGUAGGGAAUAUUGCACAAUGGGCGAAAGCCUGACGCAGCAACGCCGCGUGAGUGAUGAAGGUCUUCGGAUCGUAAAGCUCUGUUAUUAGGAAAGAACAGAUGUGUGUGAAACUGUGCACAUCUUGACGGUACCUAAUGAGAAAGCCACGGCUAACUACGUG